This is a small nucleolar RNA of Penaeus monodon (black tiger shrimp), 207 nucleotides long. RefSeq annotates it as small nucleolar RNA U3. The record is from RefSeq and is a predicted model, not a curated record. NCBI's taxonomy places the organism in Eukaryota, Metazoa, Arthropoda, Malacostraca, Decapoda, Penaeidae. The transcript has a single exon.
AUGAUCAUACUUUAUAGGAUCACUUCUAUAGUGCGAUUCCCGGGGUUUCUCGCCGAGAUUCUCGGAAUAUGUUCAACCACGUUUGAGACUGUUAGUGUAACCCUUUCUGAGCGGAAGCGGCUCUAAAGUGUUUGUCUUGAGAGAUUUGAUGACCGUUCUGACUGGGUUUUACCGAUGUUGAGAGGAGGAUCACACAAGCUGAGGGGU